CUGGACGCAUGCCUGGGGGUCUCCCUAGGGGGUUGAUGGUUUUGGCCUUCAGGCAGAAAGAACCUGGUGGCAAAGUUCCAGAGGUUAGCGGAGCCUGGCAUGGAGGCGGUGGUCAAGGUGAAGCCCCACGACAAGGAUGCCAAAAUGAAAUACCAGGAGUGCAACAAGAUCGUGAAGCAGAAGGCCUUUGAGCGGGCCAUCGCGGGCGACGAGCACAAGCGCUCCGUGGUGGAUUCGCUGGACAUCGAGAACAUGACCAUCGAGGGUGAGUACAGCGGACCCAAGCUUGAGGACGACAAAGUGACAAUCACCUUCAUGAAGGGGCUCAUGCAGUGGUACAAGGACCAGAAGAAACUGCACCAGAAAUGCGCCUACCAGGAUUUCAGACAAAAAUCAGGAAUCAUCACCAGCCAAGACUGUGUUCGGACCACGUGACGUCUUCCAGGCACCAGGAAGAAAUACGACCAACAUCCGUAACAAAUGAGAGAAACUUCACCUGACUGUGUUUUGUGCAUUUGGUUUAUGAGUCAUUUUAAAAACGUGUACUUUUACUGCUGCGUUCAGGUUUUCAGCCAUAGAAUAUUCUAGAAAAAAAUAGUGAUAACAUUUAUUUCACAGCUAUAACCCUGAAUGUGUAGCUGUGUUUCUAAAAAAAACACUUUUUUACAAUUGUAGAAUAUGUAACAUGCUUCCAGAAACGUGCCCUAAACACAAAUAUAUAAUUUGGCAAAUAA
RNA transcript from Gorilla gorilla gorilla (western lowland gorilla), 734 nucleotides. It is a transcript of the gene named protein PPP5D1, with no coding region annotated. Lineage: Eukaryota; Metazoa; Chordata; Mammalia; Primates; Hominidae. The transcript is spliced from 4 exons. The record is from RefSeq and is a predicted model, not a curated record.